GUUGUAGCUCAGUGGUAGAGCACUUGCCUAGCAUGCGUGAAGCACUAGGUUCAAUCCUCAGCACCACA
This 68-nucleotide transfer RNA is filed under the name Marmota monax (woodchuck). RNAcentral's name for it is "tRNA.Ala". Lineage: Eukaryota; Metazoa; Chordata; Mammalia; Rodentia; Sciuridae. The record is from RNAcentral.